This is a long non-coding RNA of Acinonyx jubatus (cheetah), 3699 nucleotides long. RefSeq lists it as uncharacterized. Lineage: Eukaryota; Metazoa; Chordata; Mammalia; Carnivora; Felidae. The transcript is spliced from 3 exons. The record is from RefSeq and is a predicted model, not a curated record.
AGGAGGAGGAGGAGGAAGAGAAGGAAAAGGAGAAAAAAAGACUGGACACAAAUGCUUCAGAAUCAACAGACUGAGUGAGCCCUGAGGGUGACACUUUGGGUGAUUCCUUCUCUGUUUGUAAUUUUCCACCUUUUACUCGAGCAUGUCCUCCUUUUAUAAUUAUGAAAAUCUUGAGUUCUUGCAUUUAACCAGUGAGCAAAAGCAGUAGACAGAGGCGCUGUGGCCGGGCACCCAGUGCUCCAGGGGCCAACCGGGCGGAUUUGGCGGUGGCUGCCUGGGCCGGGCGAGGUCCCUGAGCCAGCCUCCGGGACACAGGACUCUGCUGGGGCAGAAGCCUUCAGAGAGGAGCCUAAUUUAUCUGAGCACAGCUGACGUCGCUCAGAGAAAUCCAGAAAGUGCUGAUUAAUCACGCAGUCAAGGCUAAUCCCUGGAAAGAACUCGAGUCGAGGUGACACAAAACAGUGCCCCAGGCGGGAACACGACCUCAGGCGCCGCCGCGGGGCCAAAAUCUGGGCCUCCACGUCUCGCCGCCGCCUGGAACGCUCUACGGCGCUGGCUGCGCAGGUGGCGCAUGCGCACCCCGCCGACCGGCCCCCUCCAGCCGCCGGCCCGCCACCUGCUUGGCGUCCCCAGGCUCGCGCCCGCCCCUGGCCGGUUCUUGUGAGCGUCAACUCUGUUUACUGCUUCGUGGUCGCCAACCCACGGGCACUGCUCUUAAGGUUGACUGUCACCGUGGUGGGAAGACAUUGGCCAAGAACUGUUUUCCUUGGAGAGAGCUCUCACACAGUCUGAGAGAAAAUUAGUAUUAAAGGUUGUCUGCUCUAGAGGAGAAAAAAGUAUUCAAAGGACUGUGGAGACCUGAGAUGUCAGUGGAGGCACCUGGCAGUGAACUCUAUUGCUCUUACGAAUGGCUUUAUAAGGGGCGCCUGGGUGGAUCAGUUGAUUAAGCCACCCGCUCUUGGUUUUGGCUCAGGUCAUGAUUUCACAGUUCCUGGGGUUCGAGCCCCCGCCAGGCCCCGAAAUCUUCCAAAAAGAAUCCUGGGCGAGGCCAGGCAAGCACGAGAAAGACUCGAAGCGUUCCAAGUGGGAACCUACUGGGCUCUGCUCAGAAGGAAACGCUGCAAAGAGUGCGGAGGAGCCGGGGGGGAGUGCUGGACGCCUCCUCUUGCCUUCAGAGCGUUGCCUCCUAACAGCAGAAGCUCACGCUAACUUGGCUCUGCUGUCAGUCUUGAGGGAGCCCCCAUUGGUCUCCUGCAGCGCAGUGCCCCAGCUCCCCCAGCCCGGGCUUGUCUAGUUUAUUAGGCACGUGUUAAACAGCCAGCCACGCCAGUGGGCAGGGUGUAAGAAAGUACCUGGCACCUGGAGGCGAAUGGAGCUAAAGCUGGAGUUCUGGUCCAGAUAAGGAAACUGAGGCUCAGAGGUGACUUGCCCAAGAUCGCUUAUCCCCCAAAUCAGAGUGAAAUAAUGAGGAAGGCCUCAUCUAUUUGAGACUGUAUCUACUCAAGGUUGGAUCAAAUUGAAGAACAGAGUUGUGGAAACAGCACUGGACUGGCAGCCAGAGGACUUAGGAGUUUGCUGUGUGAUUUGGGUAAGCCCUUUUAUUGGCUGGCCUUUGGCUCUCUAUGUAUAUGAUGGAAAGGUAGGGCUGGAUGUGCCUUUCAGGACCAAAACUCUGAUGACUGCACAGAAGUAUUCACUGUAAAUAGACCACACUAAAGAUCAGAGUUUCUGAUGCUCAUGACAUUUCUUAAGGCUAGGCCACUUUCACAUUUUAAAAAUACUGCAGCAUGCUUUAAAUAAGCAUACUGUGAGACCAUUAAAAAAAUCAAUAUAAACUACUUUAAACUACUUUUGUACAUCAAAAUAGAGUCUUAAGGAUUCUUAACAUUUUGACAUCUUUUCACAUUCUGAGAACUUCUUUAUUCUCUGUCCUUUCUGGCAUUUCAAAUUCUUUCAUGUAGUUUUUAAUAUAAUUUAGAGAUUAUCGUUUUUUGCAUGAAAAAUUAUAAAUACUUAAAACCUGCAUCUGUACCAUCUGCCAGGAGUUUAUAUGAAGAAUUUUGAAAAUAUAGCCGCUCAAAACUGUCAGCAUAUUGCAUUAAUCGUUAAAAAAAAAAAAUCAACCCAAUACCACACAGAUUAAACUGUCUAAAGUAAGUUUUAAUGCAACACAUUCACAGGUUUACACUCUAAAGUUGUGAAGAGAUUAUCUUUUUCAAAUUUGAUUAAGUGCUGCAAGAUGUGGAAGAAACUCAGCACUCAAAUGAAUUAUAUGUUUGAUGUCAUUUUUGGCAAAACCUCAUAAAGUGUCACAUAAAAGAAAAACAUCUUACUUAAAAUAAGGUCUUGACAGCAGUCUGGAAUAGUUAACAACUCCACUCCCAAAUGAGAAUGCUGGUUAUAAUCAAAAUUUUAAUGACGAUAUUAGUUCUCCCCUUGAGACAAUCUAAAUAUCAAAACAAAACAAAACAAAAAAUAACGUGCAUGCAUCCACACACCCCUCAUGUCUUCCUUUUUAAAGGGGGAAAAUUUGUAAUUAUUUUAGUUCAUGAUCUCAAUAUUGAGUAUAAUGUUUCCUUGCACAUUAUAAGAUUUCUGCUACGAGGCAAUGUCAAUCAGUAUGUUUUUGUUGUUUAGUAUUAAUUCAUGAGAGGUAUAAAUAAUGCCCAUCAGCAAUGGAAGUGGAGUCCCUGGGUGUCAGUGCCCUCACAUCUUCUAAACCCUAGAGCUGAAAAUGGUGGGAACCUUUUACCUUUCAAUUACAUUUAUAGUCUUUACAUCUAUCGUCCUCUAUAUCCUACUCUCUGAUAUGAGAAAAUUAAAAGGAAGAACACCCCUAAAAUCAAGUUUUCCAUUUAAGAGUUAUCAGUCAAUUUCACUUGGAAAGUCUUUUAAAAAGCAUAUUACAAACAAGAUUAUAUUAAAAACAACUAUGGAAAACAUGAUGCCACAUGUACACGUGUUUCUGGCAUGAAGAUAAAAAAAGUCCAGAAAAACAAAUAUUACACAGUUAACCAUGGUUGUCUUUGGCAGAAGUAUCAUGGGUGAUCUUUUUUAUCCUUUAUGCUUUUCUACAUUUCUGAUAUUUUUGCAAAGGAUACGUUACUUUUAUAAAUGGAAGAAAUAAUAUAGCUUUUUAAAAAAUUGACAGUUAUGGCCAAAGAUUAAUACUUACUAUCAAUUAACCUAUUUUUACUGGAUUAGGAAUGGCAUCAAUAUUAGUAACAGGAAGAUAAAGUGCAGUUACUAAAAAUAUAGUUAAAGGCUCUUGUCAAACUUCCUAUACUGGAAUUACAUCUACCAGCAGGCAGAAGUAAUGUUCAUUUAAAAACUAUUUUUUUAAGUUGAUUUAUUUAUUUUGAGAGAGAGAGAGUGUGUGAGCAGAGGAGGGGCAGAAAGAGAGGGGGAGAGAGAGAGAGAAUUGUAAGCAGGCUCUGUGCGGUCAGCACAGAACCCGAUACGGGGCUCGAACUCAUGAACCGUGAUGUUAUGACCUGAGCCAAAACCAACAGUUGGACGCUUAACUGACUGAGCCACCCAGGUGCCCCAAUAGGACAACCCAAUUUUUUUCCCAGUGAGCUCUAUGCCCACUGUGGGGCUUGAACUCAUGACCCCGAGGAUCAAGAGUCAUAUGCUCUACGGAUGAGACAGCCAGGUGCUCCUCUCAUUUAAAAACUAUUUUAAGGGGCACCUGGCUGG